This is a long non-coding RNA of Myotis myotis, 2795 nucleotides long. RefSeq lists it as uncharacterized. Lineage: Eukaryota; Metazoa; Chordata; Mammalia; Chiroptera; Vespertilionidae. The record is from RefSeq and is a predicted model, not a curated record. The transcript is spliced from 4 exons.
CCUUUCGUUCACUAGGCGCAAGGAGGGCUGCUCGCAUCGACCCGCUGUGUCGUGCUGUAUAUACGAACAGCUGAACUUAAAGAAGCAGCAUUUGGGUUUUCCUUCCACUUGCGUCAGAAGAUCAGCUAAAAAAUGAAUCAGAAAAGAGUUACUGAAAUUAUUUCUCAUUUAAAAAAUGAAGAAACCCUUUCAUAUUAACUGAGAACUGUGGACUCGGGGAAACCCUGAGAAGGAACGAACAGCGGAUGAGAUUUUAAAAUGAUGAUGAUUAGAGAGAACAAGAGACACCGUGGAGGAACAUCCACUUAGAAUUCUUUGGGAAUCUGAGCAGUUACACUCACUGAGCAGCUGUACCAGUCAGUCUGGAGCAGGAACCCUCCCCCCAGGCCGGAAUUACCUGGGGACAAGACACUGAGCCGCAGCGAGCCUGGGCAGUGAGCAGAAAAGACAGGACGUCGGCUACGUGUGGGCUCUGGAAUAGCGUUUUAAAGGAUCGAACCCAGGCAGGUAAUUAGUUAAAGGUUAACUUGGGGCUGUUUGAAAAGUUAGAAAGCGCGUCUUUGAUGCCAGGCUGUCGGUGUGAGCAGAAGCCCUUGGAAAUGUCUCUCCUCUUGGUUUCCCUGAGAUAGUUUAUAAAUAAGGCAGAUCUGCUCCGGGACCAGCUGAUAACGGAGUCUUCAAGGAAAAGCCUUAGUUGCAUGAUCACCUGAUGACUGGACAGGGAGAACAAUAUUUUGAACCUGUCUCGAGCCCGGUGUAAAGGGCAGAAAGCACUGUAUAAGGCAAGACCCGCAGACACACGGCACCCAGUCGUUCUGGUCGUGCUUCUGUGAAGGUGCCUGGCUCCCUUCCUUGGACUGUAGUUUUGAACUCACUGCAGAAGGAGUUGUAUGACAUAUAUUCUCUUUCAGGAGCAAGGUAGAUACUACAGAUAGUCGUCCUCCCGCCCCGAAGAGUUGGACAAUAUUUUAGAAGUUCUUAGGCAGUGUGCCUGCCUGGAAAUAUGCAGGCCGGAGGCUUGCAGCCAUAGCGCUGUGGUCCAGCUUCAAGCAGGGCUUGGUGAGCCAUAACCUGCUCGGCUGAAGGGUUUGUUUCUUAGGCAUUUUCCGAUAAUUAGCGCUUGAUCAUCAUUAUGCUGUGUUUGCUUUGUCAUUGCACGUUUUAAUAUACUGCAUUUAAGAAAUACUUUCUCAUACUCUCCAGUGUAAUCGCUUUUAAAAUUAAAUAGCUUAAUUUGCGAAGAACACAGACACCCUGUGGGGAAUGGUUUUGAAUUCCAGGAGUCAUUCCAGGUGGCCAGCAAAUGCUCAGCGGGGCUUAGACGUACAGCCACCGCCCCCCACCUCCCUACCCCCAUCCCUGUUCUCAGUGAAAAGCCUCAUCACUAGACAUGCGUGUUUCAAGCAAGCAAAUGCAAGCAUGGGUUGUAUGUGAGUUGUAACGUGGCUUGUGGCUCCUCUCCUAGUGGCCUUGGUGCUGGUGACUGUGGCAGCCUGGCACGGUACCUCUGCCCCAUCCCACUAAGCACCGUGAAUGCGUGGCGAGCACUUUCAGAUCUGAGUCUCAUGAAAUCCUGAGAAAACAAAGCAAAGCUGUGGUCCCUCCUACUUACAUAAAACCCCGGCUUGUUAGGGCCGUGCCUCACACACCCGGGCGGGCAGCCGGCCGGGCCGUGCGGGCGGCUACUCACGUGCUGUGGGCAUGGCGAUGACCGUCUCCGUGGUGGCGUGGUAGUCGUCCUCCUCCAGGGAGCCCUCGCUGCCGCCGUCCCGCUGCACGUCGUCCUGGUCGAUGAGCUCCCGCAGCGGCGGGGCCCGGGGCAGGAGCUGCCGGACGGCUUCCUUGCUGAUGUUGGGCGCCGUUUCCAGGCGCAGCUUGCUGAGGAUCUGGAUCUUUAUGGCUUCUAUCCGGGACGACUUCGUGUUCUGCCUCCAGGCGCACGCGUUGCACGGCCCCUCUUUCUCCGCAUCGCCUUUCUGCUCGCCGUUCUCACUCAGGUCCACGGGGCCGGCGACGAUCAGCAUGAACAGGUAGAUGGACACAUAGACUUGCAGCUUUUGCAUGAUGUAGAAGCUGUGCAGUCUUUUCCUGCUCCUUUUCCUCCUUUGCUUUUGAGUAAUGCCAAGCAAAGGGGAAUGCCUGGACAGUCGGAGACGCCAGUGGCCACCCAGGGAAUCUUGCACGCUGUCUUCCAAGUGGCUUUUUAUAUUCCGACUCGGAUGAGACCAGUGUCGUCAGGACCUGUGAUUGGCUCCGGCUCCACAAUGAAUCUCGCUGUCAGAGGUUAAACCCUGUCUGUCACAAGUCACCAAGCAGUGUUCUGUUACAGGCCAGGGCGGGCUGGUGCCUCUGCGUGCUUCAUAAAAGAAGGAAAUCUACAGAUCAGCGGAGGGAGAGGUGACAGUUGAGAAAUGAAAGUAUGUAAACAAUAACAUCAACUGCACUUCAGUCUGAUUCAUCUGUACAUGUGGGACUCUUCAGUUAUAAUUGAAACAAACGAAUAUCUCUCAGAAGAUGUACUGCUUCAUAGUUUAUUACCAAGAGCAUACUGUGAGCCAGUAGAAAAUUCCUGAACUUAGAAUAAAAAAAGGAGUGGACUUUCUGACAAGCAACGUAGCACCUACUGCAUCCGCCUCAGAUGCCAGCGGUAAAAGCAAGACGUGGUCUCUGGCCCCCAGAAAUUAUGUCAGAAUAUUGUGAGCACUCAAGGGAAGCGCUCCACCAUCAAAGGGUACCCGUUCCCCCCAAUACUGUGAUGGGUUUGCACCCCUUUACCGUUUCUCAUUUUGACCAGA